RNAcentral lists this ribosomal RNA (440 nucleotides) under uncultured bacterium. Its description in RNAcentral is "partial 16S ribosomal RNA". It matches the Rfam family "Bacterial small subunit ribosomal RNA", at positions 338 to 795 of the family's 1533-position model. The record is from RNAcentral.
CCUACGGGAGACAGCAGUAGGGAAUAUUGCACAAUGGGGGAAACCCUGAUGCAGCAAUGCCGCGUGGAUGAUGAAGGUCUUCGGGUUGUAAACUCCUUUCGUCAGAGAAGAUAAUGACGGUAUUUAUCCAUUAACCACUGGCCAACUCCGUGCCAGGAGACGCGGUCAUACGGAGGGUGCAAGCGUUACUCGGAAUCACUGGUCGUAAAGAGCGCGUAGGCGGGUUGGCAAGUCAGAUGUGAAACCCACGGGCUCAACCUGUGGCCUGCAUUUGAAACUGGAAGUCUUGAGUACUGGAGAGGCAGAUGGAAUUCCUAGUGUAGCGGUGAAAUGCGUAGAUAUGAGGAGGAACACCAGUGGCGAAGGCGGUCUGCUGGACAGCAACUGACGCUGAGGCGCGAAAGCGUGGGGAGCAAACAGGAUUAGAUACCCGAGUAGUC